GCCAGCAGUAUCCCAAAUCUGGGCCUUGACGACCUUGUCAUCAACGUGGAUGCUGCGAGUGGCGAAUUCAACACCGAUGGUGGAUUUAGAUUCCAGGCUGAAUUCAUUUCUCGUGAAUCUUGACAAGAGAUUGGAUUUCCCAACCCCAGAGUCACCUAUUAACACCACCUUGAACAAGUAGUCAUAGUCCUCGUCUGCCCUGUAAGCCCCCAUUAACCUAAAUUCCCUCUCUUUCUCAGCGUUUUGAAUGAAAGGGGUUAUGGGGUUUUUGGAAAUGAAGAUCAAACGAAAAGGGUAGUCUUGCUUUUCGAUAUUGAAGAUGAGAUAUGUGGGUUUUUGAAAACGAAGAUUAAAAAUAGAUUGGUUAGUCUUGGUUUCUUGAUGUACGGCUAUGGAAGAUGCUAAGAUGAAUCUAUCUAACAACAGGGUGAGCGAACCGAAAGCUUUCGACACCGGCGUAAACCGAAAAAUU
RNAcentral lists this unclassified non-coding RNA (472 nucleotides) under Hevea brasiliensis (rubber tree). Lineage: Eukaryota; Viridiplantae; Streptophyta; Magnoliopsida; Malpighiales; Euphorbiaceae. The record is from RNAcentral.